CUACGGGAGGCAGCAGUGGGGAAUUUUGGACAAUGGGCGAAAGCCUGAUCCAGCAAUGCCGCGUGAGUGAAGAAGGCCUUCGGGUUGUAAAGCUCUUUUGUCAGGGAAGAAACGGUGAGAGCUAAUAUCUCUUGCUAAUGACGGUACCUGAAGAAUAAGCACCGGCUAACUACGUGCCAGCAGCCGCGGUAAUACGUAGGGUGCAAGCGUUAAUCGGAAUUACUGGGCGUAAAGCGUGCGCAGGCGGUUUUGUAAGUCUGAUGUGAAAUCCCCGGGCUCAACCUGGGAAUUGCAUUGGAGACUGCAAGGCUAGAAUCUGGCAGAGGGGGGUAGAAUUCCACGUGUAGCAGUGAAAUGCGUAGAUAUGUGGAGGAACACCGAUGGCGAAGGCAGCCCCCUGGGUCAAGAUUGACGCUCAUGCACGAAGACGUGGGAGGACGAACGAGGAGUAGUAUACCGUACGGUACGUACCGACCGACCCGUAACCGUACUGUCUACUAGUUAGUUCGGUCGUUA
Molecule: ribosomal RNA, 516 nt
Filed under: uncultured bacterium
Lineage: Bacteria
Description: bacterial SSU rRNA
Rfam family: Bacterial small subunit ribosomal RNA
Source: RNAcentral